Molecule: unclassified non-coding RNA, 38 nt
Filed under: Perkinsiella-like sp. AFSM2V
Lineage: Eukaryota; Euglenozoa; Kinetoplastea; Prokinetoplastida; Perkinselidae
Description: trans-spliced leader sequence SL
Source: RNAcentral
AAUUUCUGCUAUAAUAGUUCAGUUUCUGUACUAUAUUG